This 386-nucleotide small RNA is filed under the name Pongo abelii (Sumatran orangutan). RNAcentral's name for it is "processed transcript". The record is from RNAcentral. Lineage: Eukaryota; Metazoa; Chordata; Mammalia; Primates; Hominidae.
GGUUUCUUAUAGAUGGCUUUUAUUACAUUGAGGUGGAGCCAGAGCAUGUGAUGGGAGCACCGGGCCUGAGCUGCAGCAUAAGUUUCCUCUGAUUUUCAACCUGGAAGACGAUAUCGCAGAAGCCGUGCCUCUAGAAAGAGGUGGUGCGGAGUACCAGGCCAUGCUGCCCCAGGUCAGAAAGGUUCUUGCAGACGUCCUCCAAGACAUUGCCAAUGACAACAUCUCCAGCGCAGAUUACACUCAGGACCCUUCAGUAACUCCCUGCUGUAAUCCCUACCAAAUUGCCUGCCGCUGUCAAGCUGCAUAACAGACCAAUUUUUAUUCCACAAGGAGGAAUAUUUGGGAAUUAGACAGGCUGGAGUGCAGUGGCGUGAUCUCGGCUCACU